Molecule: long non-coding RNA, 3212 nt
Organism: Hypomesus transpacificus
Lineage: Eukaryota; Metazoa; Chordata; Actinopteri; Osmeriformes; Osmeridae
Exons: 3
Source: RefSeq, a predicted model, not a curated record
AGAUGUGUGUGUGUGUAGAUAGUGUUUGCAAGAGUGUCUCUGUCCGUGACACUGUCUACAAAAACAGAAUUGAGUUUUUUUUUUUUUGGCACAGCGAAGCUGGAGUAUUAUGGUCUGUUUGAUACCUAUGGUCUGUUUUGUGGCUGCGAGACCCCUGCUUGAUUUUUUGUGUGCAUGUGUAUGUGUGACUGUUAUUUACCUGCGGCACAAAAAAGGAUUCCAUUAACAGUCAUGGAUAACAUAGACGUUUAUCCUGUUCUUUUGACAUUCUUAAGAAUAUGUUUGUUUCAACAAGGAUGAUGGCAUGGAAAGCCUACCAAGCAUAGCAAGAAUUAGAACAACCCACGACAACGCUCAAUUGGCCAAGGGCAGCUUCCAACAGCUCUGAAGACUGCUCUGAUUGGUUCAGGGCUGAGCCGGGAUGAAGGAGCAGGAAGACGUCUGUUCUGGACAGAGUUUUGCACUCAGUUUUGUCAGUUUUCUGGGCUUUGAGUUGGGGAGGAGUUCGGUUGAGUCCAUGUGCUGAAACCCUCCUGGGUAGCGACGGGAGCACAGAGACCUGGGACUUCUGCCAAAAGGCCGACAAAAACAUUUGUGACAUUCUCAGAGACGUACCCCCCUCCCACUCACCUCCCUCCCCCAAGUCUGCUUCCAUCUCCUCGUUGGUUAAUUUAGCCUAUCGAGCCCCCCCCCUCCUACCACCGCCUCUCAGGGGUUCUGAUAUUAUCCCUGGAUGAAGUGAGACAGGAGUGGAAGGAGGAAGAAAGGAGUAGUACAAAACUCUCGUCCAAAUAGCAAGGAGGGGAUUGUGGGAAGGGGGCGUAGCAAUGAGAGGGUGUGCACUCCAUUUCUGCACUCCCUUCUUCCCGCCAUAACAGGCCUCUUCUCCUCCAGUUUUUCCUCUCUUCGGCCCUGCCAGUCGUCGCCACAGAAACGAUGUCCAGGUAUUUUUCCUUUUUAUCCUUAAACUACCCUUUCUCAACUUCCUCUUGCCCUACUUCUCUCCUUUUCAUGCUCGAUCACUUCGUUCCUGUCUCCUCUCCUUCCAGUCUUGUCAUUACUCCUUAUUUGAACCUUCCGGAUGCCACGCUGCAUUCAGCGCUCCGCCAUCUUUGUUUUCUAAUUUUUGGGAAAGGUUUUCUGUUCACUGGAGGCUUGCCUCCCUGAUUUCUCAUUUCUUUCCUCCCUGUCUGCUAUGGAGAGACAAGCAGGCUUUGACAGACCAAUAAACAAUAUUGCCUGUGGGAAGUGCUGGACAGAGCAGGUGUCUCAUGAAAAUGAUAUGGAAUACAAGUGGUCAUGUACCUGAGCGUGGAACACAUGGCAUAAGUGAGUCUCUAUGAGCGCAAAAGGGUUGUGAAUGUAAGAGUGUGCGUGUGCAUGUGAAUGCGGAGAAAAGGUAUGUAAAAUUAAGUAGGUUUGAACACCAUUUGUACUUAAAUUAAAGUAUAGGCUAUUAAAGUAGCUGUGAUCAACGAGACAGGUACACACAUAUAGCAGUCUUAUUGCCACAGGUAGUCAUGAUGGGUCAGCAGGGAAAUAUUUACCUUUCUUAACUUUCUCUAAACACUGUUGUGUUUCUCAUGCCCCCUACCAUGAAACCCCGUUGUUUGGUGACUGUGUGUGUGUAUGUGCAUACAUGCAAAGGGCGUACUGUGUUUUAUAGUGUCUGCUGAACUGUACUGUUUGCGUGGAUGUUUUCUUCAUAACAGGAAACCCAGACAGGAACAAAACUUUGUCAGUAUGUCAGACAUACUAGCAUCCUGAUAAGACACUUCUCUCAUGGUGAUGCAGAACAAAACAACAGUAACUAGCUGCAGUUGAGUUAUUACACAUCAGUCUGACAGAUGGCUGGCAUGUGACACAAUUAACAUUAGGCACCAAUAUUCAUAUUUCUUGGCAAACAAAAGCAGGACACAUUCACAUUCUGUUUCCAUCUAUAGGCUGAAGAGUCAUCUGUUAUUCAGUAUAGUGGAUUUACUACAAAUUAGAGAGAAGGAAUGGAGAAGGGAACAGGGGAGCGAUGAGAGAAAUCGACAGAGACACUAAGAGAGAAGGAGAAUGAAGAAAAAAAGAGAAAUAGAGAGAGAGGCGUGGUGAGGAGAGCAUUUUUCUCCGCCUUCUCCUAUCCUCAGAUGAACUCCUCAUGUUGCCUCAUAAUGCUGAUGUUUUUUUCACUCCUGGAGGCAGCCUGGCUUACUUCCUGCUUUCAGCCACCACUCGGCUGAUUGGUCGAUAUCUCUUUGCUCAAUGGCCACGGCCAAGGAAAAGCAACAGGAAGUGCUUCGGCUAACGCAGGACACGAGUAUGCUUAACAAUUUUUUGGGGGGGAAAUACACACAGUUGUGAUCGAGUGUGUGUGUGCAUUUCAGGAUGUUUGAAUGCAUGUGUGUGUGUGUGUGUGUGUCAGAGCAACUAAGAACUAAGAGCACAAAGGGGAAAGGGACGACGACUAGCGAGAUAUAGAGGAAACAACUGGGAGUAGGGGGGUGGGGUUAGAAUAGAGCCAACAGAAUCUGAGAACUAAGUUAAAGUAGGUUACAUUGCACAAUUUUGUGAAUUUAAAUGCUCAGUCUCUGCCCUGCUCUAAUGUCCCAUACACAUGUUGUAUUUAUCACAUCCUGGUGUCACCUGGUGUUUUUCUCAGCUCAGUAUAGUACAUAGUGUGUGCGUUGAUGUGGAUCGCAAGACAAGUGGGCGCCUCGCCAAGUGGGUACCAAAUGGGUUCAGUCGCCACCUACCCUCACCCUCCCAGACACACAUACUAUCCCCCCCAUCAGUCUGUAACUCAUAAAGAGGCAUUCCUCUGUGAAUGGGCAUGGAAAAGCUGGCAUAACAAUAUCAAACGAACACUUCCUGGCUCCCAUGUUGACUCCUGUAACAGACAGACAAUAUCAGUCGCCAGCUAAAGUGGGGGGGCUGGAGCUUACCCUUGCAUUAAAACCAUUGUUUGCUGGAAGUAAUUUCUACUAGUGUUGUAUUCGUCAUGAUGCCAUUGAUUGUGGGGCAUUCUGCCGCAGGAAACACCUUCUCCCUGUGCCUGCCACCACCAAGCCCCCACCCCCUCACAUUUACCACCUCCUUCCUUGCCUCAUUUAAAUUCUGCCUGGCACACAGACGCUGCCCAUUACUUGGCACUGGGCAGAGAGAGUGAGAGAGAGAGAGAGAGAGAGAGAGAGAGAGAGAGAGAGAGAGAGAGAGAGAGAGAGAGA